GCUCAGUUGGUAGAGCACAAGGCUCAUAACCUUGUCGGCGUGGGUUCGAGCCCCAU
Molecule: transfer RNA, 56 nt
Filed under: Triticum aestivum (bread wheat)
Lineage: Eukaryota; Viridiplantae; Streptophyta; Magnoliopsida; Poales; Poaceae
Also listed under: 1 other name
Rfam family: tRNA
About the family: Transfer RNA (tRNA) molecules are approximately 80 nucleotides in length. Their secondary structure includes four short double-helical elements and three loops (D, anti-codon, and T loops).
Source: Rfam by way of RNAcentral